UACGGAGGAUCCAAGCGUUAUCCGGAUUCAUUGGGUUUAAAGGGUGCGUAGGCGGACUGAUAAGUCAGCGGUGAAAUCCCACGGCUCAACUGUGGAACUGCCGUUGAUACUGUUAGUCUUGAAUGCAGAUGAUGUGGGCGGAAUAUGACAUGUAGUGGUGAAAUACUUAGAUAUGUCAUAGAACACCGAUUGCGAAGGCAGCUCACAAAACUGUGAUUGACGCUGGCACGAAAGCGUGGGGAUCAAACAGG
RNAcentral lists this ribosomal RNA (251 nucleotides) under uncultured bacterium. RNAcentral describes it as "partial 16S ribosomal RNA". It matches the Rfam family "Bacterial small subunit ribosomal RNA", at positions 524 to 776 of the family's 1533-position model. The record is from RNAcentral.